UCCGAUGGUGAACCUGCGGAGGGAUCAUUACACAAAUAUGUAAGGCGGGCUGGAACCUCUCGGGGUUACAGCCUUGCUGAAUUAUUCACCCUUGUCUUUUGCGUACUUCUKGUUUCCUUGGUGGGUUCGCCCACCACUAGGACAAACAUAAACCUUUUGUAAUUGCAAUCAGCGUCAGUAACAAAUUAAUAAUUACAACUUUCAACAACGGAUCUCUUGGUUCUGGCAUCGAUGAAGAACGCAGCGAAAUGCGAUAAGUAGUGUGAAUUGCAGAAUUCAGUGAAUCAUCGAAUCUUUGAACGCACAUUGCGCCCUUUGGUAUUCCAAAGGGCAUGCCUGUUCGAGCGUCAUUUGUACCCUCAAGCUUUGCUUGGUGUUGGGCGUCUUGUCUCUAGCUUUGCUGGAGACUCGCCUUAAAGUAAUUGGCAGCCGGCCUACUGGUUUCGGAGCGCAGCACAAGUCGCACUCUCUAUCAGCAAAGGUCUAGCAUCCAUUAAGCCUUUUUUUCAACUUUUGACCUCGGAUCAGGUAGGGAUACCCGCUGAACUUAAGCAUAUCAAUAAGCGGAGGAA
Molecule: ribosomal RNA, 572 nt
Filed under: fungal endophyte
Lineage: Eukaryota; Fungi
Description: eukaryotic LSU rRNA
Rfam family: 5.8S ribosomal RNA (bases 197-350)
Source: RNAcentral